Molecule: ribosomal RNA, 169 nt
Filed under: Dinophysis acuminata
Lineage: Eukaryota; Dinophyceae; Dinophysales; Dinophysaceae
Also listed under: 3 other names
Description: partial 23S large subunit ribosomal RNA
Rfam family: Bacterial large subunit ribosomal RNA
Source: RNAcentral
AUAUAAGCGAAUAAGGGCUUAAGUUGGAUACCUUGGCAUUCAGAAGCGAUGAAGGGCGUGUCUACCGACGAAACGCUUCGGGGAGCUGGAAGUAAGCUUUGAUCCGGAGGUUCCCGAAUGAGGAAACUCUUUAAACUGCAUAUUUAAUACAUAGGUAUGUAAGAGCGAA